CACGUAGGGUGCAAGCGUUGUCCGGAAUUAUUGGGCGUAAAGGGCUCGUAGGCGGUCCGUCACGUCGGGAGUGAAAACUCGGGGCUUAACUCCGGGCCUGCAGUGGGUACGGGCAGACUAGAGUGCGGUAGGGGAGACUGGAAUUCCUGGUGUAGCGGUGAAAUGCGCAGAUAUCAGGAGGAACACCGGUGGCGAAGGCGGGUCUCUGGGCCGUAACUGACGCUGAGGAGCGAAAGCGUGGGGAGCGAACAGG
Molecule: ribosomal RNA, 253 nt
Filed under: uncultured bacterium
Lineage: Bacteria
Description: partial 16S ribosomal RNA
Rfam family: Bacterial small subunit ribosomal RNA
Source: RNAcentral